This 452-nucleotide ribosomal RNA is filed under the name uncultured bacterium. RNAcentral describes it as "bacterial SSU rRNA". It matches the Rfam family "Bacterial small subunit ribosomal RNA", at positions 340 to 786 of the family's 1533-position model. The record is from RNAcentral.
UACGGGAGCAGCAGUGGGGAAUAUUGCACAAUGGGCGCAAGCCUGAUGCAGCCAUGCCGCGUGUAUGAAGAAGGCCUUCGGGUUGUAAAGUACUUUCAGUCGUGAGGAAGGUGUUAAGGUUAAUAACCUUAGCAAUUGACGUUAGCGACAGAAGAAGCACCGGCUAACUCCGUGCCAGCAGCCGCGGUAAUACGGAGGGUGCGAGCGUUAAUCGGAAUUACUGGGCGUAAAGGGCACGCAGGCGGUUAAUUAAGUUGGAUGUGAAAUCCCCGGGCUUAACCUGGGAAUGGCAUUCAAGACUGGUUAGCUAGAGUCUUGUAGAGGGGGUAGAAUUCCAUGUGUAGCGGUGAAAUGCGUAGAGAUGUGGAGGAAUACCGGUGGCGAAGGCGGCCCCUGGGACAAAGACUGACGCUCAUGUGCGAAAGCGUGGGGAGCAAACAGGAUUAGAUACC